This 508-nucleotide ribosomal RNA is filed under the name uncultured bacterium. Its description in RNAcentral is "partial 16S ribosomal RNA". It matches the Rfam family "Bacterial small subunit ribosomal RNA", at positions 30 to 523 of the family's 1533-position model. The record is from RNAcentral.
AUUGAACGCUGGCGGCAUGCCUUACACAUGCAAGUCGAACGGCAGCGGGGGAGAAGCUUGCUUUUCCUGCCGGCGAGUGGCGAACGGGUGAGUAAUACAUCGGAACGUGCCCUGUAGUGGGGGAUAACUAGUCGAAAGAUUAGCUAAUACCGCAUACGACCUGAGGGUGAAAGUGGGGGACCGCAAGGCCUCAUGCUAUAGGAGCGGCCGAUGUCUGAUUAGCUAGUUGGUGGGGUAAAGGCCUACCAAGGCGACGAUCAGUAGCUGGUCGGAGAGGACGAUCAGCCACACUGGGACUGGGACACGGCCCAGACUCCUACGGGAGGCAGCAGUGGGGAAUUUUGGACAAUGGGCGAAAGCCUGAUCCAGCAAUGCCGCGUGUGUGAAGAAGGCCUUCGGGUUGUAAAGCACUUUUGUCCGGAAAGAAAUGGCUCUGGUUAAUACCUGGGGUCGAUGACGGUACCGGAAGGAUAAGGACCGGCUAACUACGUGCCAGCAGCCGCCGUAA